AGAGGAGAAGCUACAAGGAUGCAUUCGAUGUUGAACUAAGCGAGCACGAGUUAACGCUGCGGUCCGCGUUGGGUUUGAAAGGUGAUGGAUCCUCGUAAUGAUUGCGAACGUUUCAGUUAUAGAAUUGUUCCACUUUACUAAGUCGGAUUCGUUUGGAAUCCAUUAACGCUAACCGGCCAUGUCUUGCCUUGGGCACAAAGAAAUCGCCA
Molecule: long non-coding RNA, 209 nt
Filed under: Phoenix dactylifera (date palm)
Lineage: Eukaryota; Viridiplantae; Streptophyta; Magnoliopsida; Arecales; Arecaceae
Description: long non-coding RNA (PDAC_LNC001650)
Source: RNAcentral